This is a non-coding RNA of Acanthosepion pharaonis, 102 nucleotides long. Lineage: Eukaryota; Metazoa; Mollusca; Cephalopoda; Sepiida; Sepiidae. The record is from the annotation of a GenBank genome assembly.
UAUGGCCACAUCACGUUGAAAUACAGGUUCCCGUACGAUCACCGAAGUUAAGCAACGUCGAGCCUAGAUGGGUAACCGCUUGGGAAUACCAGGUGCUGUCAG